Molecule: ribosomal RNA, 414 nt
Filed under: uncultured Bifidobacterium sp.
Lineage: Bacteria; Bacillati; Actinomycetota; Actinomycetes; Bifidobacteriales; Bifidobacteriaceae
Description: bacterial SSU rRNA
Rfam family: Bacterial small subunit ribosomal RNA
Source: RNAcentral
UGGGGAAUAUUGCACAAUGGGCGCAAGCCUGAUGCAGCGACGCCGCGUGAGGGAUGGAGGCCUUCGGGUUGUAAACCUCUUUUGUUAGGGAGCAAGGCAUUUUGUGUUGAGUGUACCUUUCGAAUAAGCACCGGCUAACUACGUGCCAGCAGCCGCGGUAAUACGUAGGGUGCAAGCGUUAUCCGGAAUUAUUGGGCGUAAAGGGCUCGUAGGCGGUUCGUCGCGUCCGGUGUGAAAGUCCAUCGCUUAACGGUGGAUCCGCGCCGGGUACGGGCGGGCUUGAGUGCGGUAGGGGAGACUGGAAUUCCCGGUGUAACGGUGGAAUGUGUAGAUAUCGGGAAGAACACCAAUGGCGAAGGCAGGUCUCUGGGCCGUUACUGACGCUGAGGAGCGAAAGCGUGGGGAGCGAACAGG